Molecule: unclassified non-coding RNA, 796 nt
Filed under: Hevea brasiliensis (rubber tree)
Lineage: Eukaryota; Viridiplantae; Streptophyta; Magnoliopsida; Malpighiales; Euphorbiaceae
Source: RNAcentral
AGAUUAUUGUCUCAGGUAUCAUUCCAUGUCUAUUUCAGCUUCUGGGGGUCUUCUUCAUUCCAGAGUCUCCUAUAUGGCUGGCAAAAGCUGGUCAAGAAAAAGAGUUGGAAAUUGCUUUCCAACGCCUAAGGGGAAAGAAUGUUGAUAUCUCUUACAAAGUUGCUGAAAUCACUGUUUCCCUAGUGCUAUUGGGUCCGCAAUAGCAAGUAUUGCUCAGGUGUGUCUUCUUUUCUUCCAAGCGUUACAUAUGAAUAUUACAGCUAACCCCAACUAGAUUGCAAACAUAAGGCUUAGCCGAGUCAAGUUGGGUGCAUGAAUAUGGCAAUCUCCUAGGUGCAUAUCUCGUUUCCAGGUCAAUUUUUUUGCCGGGAUAGUGAUGAACAUUUCCAGCAUAUUCUUAAUUAAUAGAUAUGGAAGACGACCACUUUCGCUGGCCAGUAUUGAAACUCUCAAGUUUAGAAUUUAAUCACUUAAAGAGGGAAUGAUAAAAAUAUCCUAGUUUUGCUUUCAGAUUUCUUCAAGUGGAGUGUGCUUGAGUAUUUUUCAUAUAUUCAGCCAUUUCUGGUUUGGGUAUUAUAUUUGUUGCAAAGUUUGUUCCAGAGACCAAGGGUUGAAGAAAUUCAAGCUUCAAUUAUUAUUGAAUAGGAUCAUAUGCACAUAUUACGGCAACAGUGAUGGAUAUCGUGAAUGAGUGACUGAGAGAGCACUUAAUUUAUGUACUCCCAGUGCAUCGUAAUAGAAUUUUUUGGUAUUUUUUGGUAUUAUAUUGUGUCAAAAGUAUGUGGCUGCGGAUGGA